RNAcentral lists this long non-coding RNA (287 nucleotides) under Eutrema salsugineum. RNAcentral's name for it is "long non-coding RNA (ESAL_LNC000920)". The record is from RNAcentral. Lineage: Eukaryota; Viridiplantae; Streptophyta; Magnoliopsida; Brassicales; Brassicaceae.
UGGUCCAGUGGUAAGGAAGGGUUGUGUGGGGUGUUACACCACUUCACCCAGGUUCGAUCCUCCCUGGAAACAAAAACACAAUUAUGUGGGAAGUCUGGGUUUGGGCCAAAGGCCCAAGCAGUUUACAUGGUAGUCCAGUAACAGGCGAUCUGGUUACCCCUGGCAUUAGUUGGAAGGCAUUUCAAACUCGGGACAGGUAGUGUGGUGGCCCAUUUGGAUCUCAUGGAUCUCAUGGCCCGUUGACUCGAGUUCGCUCGAAGCUCAUGGUGUCUGUUGAACCGUUGAAC